RNAcentral lists this non-coding RNA (31 nucleotides) under Homo sapiens (human). Lineage: Eukaryota; Metazoa; Chordata; Mammalia; Primates; Hominidae. The record is from RNAcentral.
UGACUGUCUACUACUUGCCAGUGUCCACUGC